Long non-coding RNA from Dalotia coriaria, 1497 nucleotides. RefSeq lists it as uncharacterized. The record is from RefSeq and is a predicted model, not a curated record. NCBI's taxonomy places the organism in Eukaryota, Metazoa, Arthropoda, Insecta, Coleoptera, Staphylinidae. The transcript has 3 exons.
AAAUCUAAGCAAUUUUUAAACAAAAAAUUCUUGAAUGUAGUAAAUUUCUUCUUAGUAAAUGCUUCUUAGUAUUCCUACACUACAAGGUGUCAUGCAUUGUAUCUGUUACACCAUUGUAGGCAUUUCGCAGUCAAUGAGUCCGAGGGUGAAAAGUGUGAAGUAGUGUCCGGACAGGAUGUCCAGCCGAAUGGCGCGCGCUUUUGUGCGUCUUCGCUGUAAACGAAGGUAUAAUCGACGCGGAGGCGCGCACAAAGCCAGGCCCCCCGAAGAAUAAAAAUGUGUGAAUGGCGCGCGAGAAGCUGAAUGAAUCCCGAGAGCCCGACACACGGCUGUAGCGAACGCUGCGAAGAAUGAAAAGGUGGCGCCGGCAAGUCCACGAGCACCAACUGAGCACACACGCAAGACACAACGGUUUUACUUAGACUAUUACCAACGAAUGCGCGCCAUUGUGUUCGAUUUUUCCAGCGCAUUCCUAAACACUGUGUAACUGUGUAACUACUAUGCAGAACAACAUGACAACAACAGAAAAAAAAAGAAGGAGAACAUUGGUGUGGUGCAUAAUCUUACUUUUUGUUCAUAUGAAAAACGUGCGUUAAUUAAACGGGUCUUCACUCAGAGCGACACUUAAGACGCUUCGAAUUCUUAAAGCGUUAAACUGUCGAGGUGCGAGAUGGUAAUAAUGGUAUCUCGGGGCAUCAUCGCAUCUCAUCUUGCAUCGCAGCGGUGUGAGCGGUGAGAAAUGCGUGGCAUAUCGACCGGGGGCAAUCAACACAUUCCACGAGGACGAGACACGCUCGCCAUUGAAGAAAACUCGAUGGAACUCUCUUGCAUUGUGCGCGCGUCGUACCCACGUUGAGGCUUCGCUUCUUUGGUGCCUAUCGCACCAUCGGGCGCGCAUCUUUGAUUAACGAUUUUGUAUGCUUUCAGAGCAACGCGCCGGUGUACCCUUUACCGCCCGCGUGUGUCCGAAAAGGGCAUCGUGAAGACAUUCCAAGACGUUUAACGAAUUUUUCUGUUUCAACUGAUAUGUCCGAGUGAUAAACGACAAGCCAAGAAAUAAAAAGUCAGCAACCAGCUUUACCAACCGCAGUUUUCAGCUUUUCCAACAUCGCAUUCGGAUCGAGAAAAAAUUGUUUGUUUGUUAGAAUGGGUACUCCACACGACUCGAUGACUUUUAUCGCGGCUUGUUUUUGUUUGCCAUGGCAAACAUUAACGUUUUCUCGUAAAAGUUGUAAACCAACGAAGUAGGAAAGUCAGGUGGGUUGUUGUUCGAGAGCCAGUUUCUAAGCGGAUGGGAAUUUCCCAGGCUUUACCCGGUAGCGCUGUAAUUGUCGAAUUCAAACCAAACGCAUCCCCUAAAUGCCUAAAUAUUUAAGCGCUGUAAUCCGUGCUUUAAUACCGUGAACAACGCAUACCGCGCAACUUGUAAUAAUAAUCAUAAAACCCGCUGCUAGAUUACAAGAUGCAAAUAAUUAGAUUUAUUUAAUAUUUAUGUUG